Molecule: long non-coding RNA, 2142 nt
Organism: Uranotaenia lowii
Lineage: Eukaryota; Metazoa; Arthropoda; Insecta; Diptera; Culicidae
Exons: 3
Source: RefSeq, a predicted model, not a curated record
CAAACAAAUCAAAAAAUCCAAGUCAAACUAUAACCAUUCAUAUAAUGUCCUUAAUAAUAAGCCCUCGUUUGUAGUAUAAGUCGCCAUUAUCUAAGAAAAGAACCAACAAAUCCACCACCAACAAGUUCCACCUUUCCAAACCUAAAGCAAUAACCAUAAUGCCAUAUUACAAAUUCACGUCAAUAGUUCAAUAGGGAGAAGUAACUAUUAGCAGUAAGCAUAUCUUCCAGAACUUAGCUGGAGAGCUGAUUGAAACUUAUAACAAUCAGUCAAACUUUAGUUUGAGUAUUAGCCCUACUUUAGCUGCAAGCGCUAUGCAGUUUUGAAACAAAACAAAACACUCAUCGUAGCUGCAAAAUUGCAGAAUGAUUUAUCGAGAGUGCACCAUUUUAACUAUUGAAACUUCUCCCUAAGAACCCCACAAUCAAGAACCGCCAUCAAACAAGUACCACAAAACCAUAGCCCAUAUCAAACCAUCCAACCACACCACAGUCAAACCAUAAUCAGGAGAAGAAACGGAAUUAGCAGUAAGAAAUCUUCCAGAACACAGCUGGAAUGCUGAUUGAUCAUACUGACAUCAGUGAAACUUUCGUUCGAGAUUCAAGAAUUAGGCCUAAGUUCAUUGCAAACAACUUGCAAUUAAAAGAAAAUUGAACACUCGUCGUGGCUGCAAGUUAGCAGAAAGAUUUGUCGACAGUGCAUUAGUUAAGUAACUAAGACUUCUCCUGAUAUUACCGGCAACCUAAAAAUUUUGUGAAUUUGUCAUAAAAAUUCACAAAAUUUUAAUGUAAAAAGUGGAUUGUAUUACAUGCACUCAAUUCUGGGUUACAAAAACCCACACAAAAGCAGACCACUGAUUGAGGGUGGACACACCCUGGCGCUAAGAGCUCGUGUAGAGCUGUCAAACAAAAAAGCGCACGUGAAAAGUGCAGUCGGCGUGCAAGGAAAAGAAGCAUCGAAAUAAGGAGUGAGACGAAAAAGUGCCGGAGCAGGCCGUGCUGCCCGACGACAGAUUGUGCCGGAAAAAGCCUUCGUGAAGAAGGCCGUUUUACCGGAUACCAGCAGCCGGCCAAGGGCCAGACUGUGACAAAGGCAAAACAGCCUGCCUCCGAUUGCCGUGCGGUCAAUUUUCAUCUUUUAUUCGGCAGGAGGGAAAACUUGUAUCAAGAUCACUAAAGAUCCACCCGACAGUGCCGCUCUGCAGUGUGGGCUAUCAGAGAGCCAAUAUAGCCGAACAUUUCGCGCGCCUAGGAGAAAUCCCGGCGGCGCGACGUAUCGCGCAUUUAGUUUCUGCCUCCGAUUGCCGUGCGGUCAAUUUUCGUCUUUAUUCGGCAGGAGGGAAAAUUUUUAUCAAGAUCCCUAAAGAUCCACCCGACAGUGCCGCUCUGCAGUGUGGGCUACCAGAGAGCCAAUAUAGCCGAACAUUUCGCGCGCCUAGGAGAAAUCCCGGCGGCGCGACGUAUCGUGCAUUUAGUUUCGGCCUCGAACGCUGUGCGGGCAUUAUCGAGCGGAAGAAGGGUGGCGGAACAUACGCGUGCCAAGGAUCAGUCCCGGCGGCGCGGUUUAUCACUGUUUCCGGCCACGAGAGCCGAAUUGCGGCUGUAGGCGAUUUCGUCAUUGUGUUGCUGUUAGUUUUUUAAAGGGACGAGCCGAAGAAGUUGAGCUCGACCAACCCGUGCCCAGGAUCAUCCCGGCGGCGCGACUGAUCGUGUUUUCCUCGGCCAAAAGAGCCGUGCCGACAUUGGCCGAACAAACGUGCGCCCAGGAUCAUUCCCGGCGGCGCGAUUCAUCUGCGUUUCCUGCCACGAGUGCCGAAUUACCAUUGUCGGCUGUCACUGCUGUUGUGUUGCUGCAGAGUCAUUGAGAAAGGAGUCGAAGGAGUGUCGUUACCAUUUUGCGCGCCUAGGAAACAAAUUCCCGGCUGCGCGACUACCUGCAAAAUCGUUGCUCGGCGGAACGAGCUGAAGGAGGAAGUGUUUGUGUGCCGGCUCGCAGUGCCGAAGGAAAUAGGAGUAACGGCUCGCAGUGCCGCAGGAAGAGUGGUGAUCCGAGGUGGCGAUAUCACAGGUGAGCUUUAGUUAAGGGGGACUGGUGGGUGGAUGAAAUCUAUUUUCCUCGCGCACAAUUGCGCAAAUUAUUAAA